Molecule: long non-coding RNA, 510 nt
Filed under: Brassica napus (rape)
Lineage: Eukaryota; Viridiplantae; Streptophyta; Magnoliopsida; Brassicales; Brassicaceae
Description: long non-coding RNA (BNAP_LNC002801)
Source: RNAcentral
UCUGACUUUCCUCAAAAUCUCUCCUUUUUUACAGAAGCAAGAAAGGGUUUCCAGAAAGGUGUUGACUUUGACUAUUUCUUCCGGGAUUGUAGGGGACUCUGUUUCUUUAGUGAGAGGGGGAUAGAAUGGUCUUGUGAGGAGGUUUGGUAAAAAGAUGUUGGAUUUGAAGAGGGCUUCAGUGAUCUAUUACCAUAAGUAUGUCAAGAGGGUUAUUAAGCUUGUCUAGUUUAUGGUUGUUACCAUGUUCAUGUGGGGAUUCCUCUUCCUCUCUGUCUACUUCAUUCCGGGUUCCCAGGUUUAAACUUACCUAGUGAUUACACAACAACAACACCCUUUUUAGUUUAUUAGAAAAGCUUCUCCUGUUCUAGCAUCUUUAAGGAUUUUGAUUUAAACAGUUUCUAUUAGUCUACCUUAGUCUUAUUCUGCUUCCUUCCCGUUUGUCGUUUCACCUGGAAACAACUUUUGAGUUUCCCUGUCUUCUUCUCUGUCUAUUUGGAGUUUGGUUUUAGG